RNAcentral lists this ribosomal RNA (253 nucleotides) under uncultured bacterium. RNAcentral's name for it is "partial 16S ribosomal RNA". It matches the Rfam family "Bacterial small subunit ribosomal RNA", at positions 524 to 776 of the family's 1533-position model. The record is from RNAcentral.
UACGUAGGGGGCUAGCGUUGUUCGGAAUUACUGGGCGUAAAGGGCUCGUAGGCGGCCAACUAAGUCGGAUGUGAAAUCCCCAGGCUUAACCUGGGAACUGCAUCCGAUACUGGAUGGCUUGAAUCCGGGAGAGGGAUGCAGAAUUCCAGGUGUAGCGGUGAAAUGCGUAGAUAUCUGGAGGAAUACCGGUGGCGAAGGCAGCUCUCUGGGACGGUACUGACGCUGAGACGCGAAAGCGUGGGGAGCGAACAGG